Elaeis guineensis (African oil palm) is the source of this 93-nucleotide small nucleolar RNA. RefSeq annotates it as small nucleolar RNA R24. The record is from RefSeq and is a predicted model, not a curated record. NCBI's taxonomy places the organism in Eukaryota, Viridiplantae, Streptophyta, Magnoliopsida, Arecales, Arecaceae.
AGUGCCAUGAUGAGCUGCUAACAUGUAAGAAGAUCUGAUCAACUGAUUGGGUCUUCAAUGAAAUAUACUUGUUACGCUUGGCUUCUGAGUCUU